AUUGAACGCUGGCGGAAUGCUUUACACAUGCAAGUCGAACGGCAGCACGGGGCAACCUGGUGGCGAGUGGCGAACGGGUGAGUAAUAUAUCGGAACGUGCCCAAUCGUGGGGGAUAACGUAGCGAAAGUUACGCUAAUACCGCAUACGAUCUACGGAUGAAAGCGGGGGAUCGCAAGACCUCGCGCGAAUGGAGCGGCCGAUAUCAGAUUAGGUAGUAGGUGGGGUAAAGGCUCACCAAGCCAACGAUCUGUAGCUGGUCUGAGAGGACGACCAGCCACACUGGAACUGAGACACGGUCCAGACUCCUACGGGAGGCAGCAGUGGGGAAUUUUGGACAAUGGGGGCAACCCUGAUCCAGCCAUGCCGCGUGAGUGAAGAAGGCCUCGGUGUAAAGCUCUUCGUCCGGGAGAAAUCGCAUGGUGAAUACCCUGUGUGGAUGAC
This 442-nucleotide ribosomal RNA is filed under the name uncultured bacterium. RNAcentral's name for it is "bacterial SSU rRNA". It matches the Rfam family "Bacterial small subunit ribosomal RNA", at positions 30 to 476 of the family's 1533-position model. The record is from RNAcentral.